RNAcentral lists this ribosomal RNA (390 nucleotides) under Staphylococcus aureus. RNAcentral's name for it is "bacterial SSU rRNA". It matches the Rfam family "Bacterial small subunit ribosomal RNA", at positions 202 to 584 of the family's 1533-position model. The record is from RNAcentral. Lineage: Bacteria; Bacillati; Bacillota; Bacilli; Caryophanales; Staphylococcaceae.
GACGGUCUUGCUGUCACUUAUAGAUGGAUCCGCGCUGCAUUAGCUAGUUGGUAAGGUAACGGCUUACCAAGGCAACGAUGCAUAGCCGACCUGAGAGGGUGAUCGGCCACACUGGAACUGAGACACGGUCCAGACUCCUACGGGAGGCAGCAGUAGGGAAUCUUCCGCAAUGGGCGAAAGCCUGACGGAGCAACGCCGCGUGAGUGAUGAAGGUCUUCGGAUCGUAAAACUCUGUUAUUAGGGAAGAACAUAUGUGUAAGUAACUGUGCACAUCUUGACGGUACCUAAUCAGAAAGCCACGGCUAACUACGUGCCAGCAGCCGCGGUAAUACGUAGGUGGCAAGCGUUAUCCGGAAUUAUUGGGCGUAAAGCGCGCGUAGGCGGUUUUUU